RNAcentral lists this unclassified non-coding RNA (447 nucleotides) under Bombus terrestris (buff-tailed bumblebee). RNAcentral describes it as "misc RNA ENSBTSG00005028668.1". The record is from RNAcentral. Lineage: Eukaryota; Metazoa; Arthropoda; Insecta; Hymenoptera; Apidae.
UCAGACUCGGCCACACUCUCUCUUCUCCUAACGUUCGUUCACAGUUCUUCUUCUGUGGUUGCUUCGCAGUUUCUUCUCACCACUAGAACGUACGCCUUCGCAUCCGAUGAGAGUCGGCUUUCUAAUCAAGAAUUAUUGGUCACACUCGACUGCUUGGUUCACCUGGUUCUCCAGAAGGUGGUAGCCAGUAUUCUCCUGCCAUACAACGUAACGCAACCAUGUCACAUGGAGACGGUGUCGAUUCGGCAGAUGAUUGAGGUUCGAAGCAUGCAGAUUCGAGGAAUCAAUGUCAGAUACCAUACUUUCUCGAAGGUAGAUCGGAAUCGAUCCAAGCACACGGAGGAUUCGAGAUAGCACCUGAGGGGGUGGGUUUCGUGCCGGACGAGCUGGCAUGGAUCCACCGUGUCGUCGACGGUGUUUCCAGUUCAAGGUCAACGGGAAUCUAGG